Non-coding RNA from Sycon ciliatum, 78 nucleotides. The record is from the annotation of a RefSeq genome assembly. NCBI's taxonomy places the organism in Eukaryota, Metazoa, Porifera, Calcarea, Leucosolenida, Sycettidae.
GUUUCCAUAGUGACGUGUAGCGGUUAUCACGUUCGCCUAACACGCGAAAGGUCCCCGGUUCGAUCCCGGGCGGAAACA